CCCUCUUAAGAUGAAUCUCAUCCUAGAGAUUCGGAAGACAGUGAUCAAAUAGAUAUGGAUACUCUGCCUUUGGAUGUUGUUCACUUGCUUAAGUUGUUCCAUCCUCUUGUAGAGAUUUUUGGCUUUACGUUGCACCCUCUAGUAAUCUAUCUCCAAGUGAUAGCACUUUUUGAAGUCAUAACCUUGUUCAAUACCAAACCAAUGAUGAUGUCAACAACUUAGAAUCAACUUAGUGAAGAUUUUCCUUAGGUUCUUAUGAUCCACCUUGAUGACAUUUUUUUAUAUUUUUUUAUGUCCAAGAAGAUAGUACUUCCAUGCUCCACAUCACGUCUCAGGUACAUGCUAAGUAUGGUGAAAAUUGAUCUCACAACUAAGGGUGGCUCGAACCAA
This 390-nucleotide long non-coding RNA is filed under the name Sorghum bicolor (sorghum). RNAcentral describes it as "long non-coding RNA (SBIC_LNC005258)". The record is from RNAcentral. Lineage: Eukaryota; Viridiplantae; Streptophyta; Magnoliopsida; Poales; Poaceae.